AUGUGGGGGCCUUUUUGCUGGUCUUUUAAAAAGGUCAGCUCCCCUAAAAUGUAUUAGCGGAACAAUUUGUUGACCGUUCAUUGGUGUGAUAAUUAUCUACGCUAUUGACGUGAGGCAGUUCAGCUUCUAACAGUCCAUUGACUUGGACAAUUUUUCAUUAAUGUGACCUCAAAUCAGGUAGGACUACCCGCUGAACUUAA
This 200-nucleotide unclassified non-coding RNA is filed under the name soil metagenome. RNAcentral describes it as "partial contains internal transcribed spacer 2 and large subunit ribosomal RNA". The record is from RNAcentral.